RNAcentral lists this non-coding RNA (22 nucleotides) under Arabidopsis thaliana (thale cress). Lineage: Eukaryota; Viridiplantae; Streptophyta; Magnoliopsida; Brassicales; Brassicaceae. The record is from RNAcentral.
UAUACAUUGAAAUGGACCGAUA